This 376-nucleotide unclassified non-coding RNA is filed under the name Hevea brasiliensis (rubber tree). The record is from RNAcentral. Lineage: Eukaryota; Viridiplantae; Streptophyta; Magnoliopsida; Malpighiales; Euphorbiaceae.
GCCGAAACUCAACAACAGCACAGGUUAACUAUAAGAGAUUAUAACAGUACUGCAUUCAAAGAAAAUUUUCAAUAGCAAGACACCAUUUCUGCUCCUGCUCCAAAGCCUCAAUACCUCAUAUAUAAAACUCGUUUACCAAGUUCCACGUCUAUUGCUACAAGAUCCCUUUCCCAUGGCCAAAUAUCACUCCUACUUAUCCAACCAUUUCAUGGUAUUAUCCUUAUUUUCCUUUACCAGUACUACCUAAUUAACUACCAAAUUAGGAAAAAAGAAUUAUGAGUUCUACCAGGCAUAAAAUAAUGAAAUGGCAUGUGCAAAUAGGAAUUGAUGACUAACAAAUCUACACCAGCACAAACCACAUCAGGUUGUGAAAGAU